GUCCUGGAUCUCUCUUCUACUGUCUGGUUUCCUUUACCAUAAGACCCUUGGGAAUCAAUUCUCAUAGCUUGACCAGGUUACUAGCCCCAGGAAGUGGCUUGAAGAGCAUAAAUGACUCCCACAGGUCCUAAUUCCCAAGAAUUGAAUGACACCUCCAGAGCCCCAGGAAUGGAUGCAGUAACAAAGAAGAGAGGGAUUUUGGGUCUCCAGUCUAUUUCUAAUGUAGUUACACGUACCAUGUGGAUACUCAAUAAAUGCUAAUUGGCAAUGGUGCUGAUGAUUUAUUGUCUCAGUUAUCUCCCGGUAUGUUGGAUGUUCUGUUAUCAUUAAACAUUUAUCAUCGUGUCAUUACUAGCCAAGGCAGCACAAUCUAGAAAAGCAGUACAAAGAAUGACCCCCAGUGAACAGUCCACGGACUCAUAAUUAUCGACCUCCUCACCCUCUGACCCCUGCCCUGCAACCCUGCUAAUGAAAUGGCAUUUGGAGAAGGAGUAUGUGAUGAGAACCCUUCACCACUGAGAUUAUACUAGGUCAAGUCCUUGCCAUUCUUUGAGAUCACUAUGCUUGGUGCUUGCUACUGACAAAGUCUAUUGACAUUUUCUCCUGACCAUACUCUUUUCCGAUGGGGCUUGAUGUAGAUAAGGCUUGCCACGGGUAGUGCCAGACAUAGACUGGACGUGCUAUGGACAGAGAUUGCUCCUGGUGAUGCUCAUUAUCAUUAUCAUUAAGGCAGGUCCUCACUAGUGGAUUUACUAUCCAUGAUCAACUUGGGACCAGCUCGCUCUUUUAUGUUGGACAUGUCAAGGCUGUGAACUCUGCUUACUUAAUAGGCUGGUGAUGCUUGUGAGCAGUAAUCUUGUGUCUUGGGUUCUUUGUAGGUCCUGAAGCCUUUGAUCCAAAAGGACCAGGAACAUUUGGAGCUGCUACUUAACAGUGUUCUUUUCCUUAUCUGUGCCAGUCUGAUUGUUGUCAUCCCACUUGGUCAUAACAUCCUGCUGAGUCUGGCUGGUAUGACUGCUGUUGGACCAGGUAGAAUGAUUGCUGCCUGUUGAGGUGGACCAACUGCUGCCCAAACUGCUGUUGCUGUCGCUCUUAGUGCCUCUGCAUUCCUCUGUGCUGCUCGUCAUGUUGAUAUGGCUGGUAAAGCUGCUCUGAUUGCUGACUAGAUCAUUAGUAUGACAGCUAGUCACACUGGUCUUGCUCUUGGCGGACAAAGCGGUCUGUUUUUUGACUGCCUCACCAUCUGCCUUGGGAGUCUGGCUUUUAUUGGCCUGGAGGGGUGUAGAGCUGGGAGGAGGGCUAGCCUGAGGGCUGCCCGUCACACUGGGGCACUUGUCCGCCACUCUGAUCUAAAGGGACCCUUGCUCAGCUGGACUCACUGCUGCUGCUGGUGAAGCUGCUCUUGGUGACCACGCACGUCUAUCGUCUCUCCUCAGGCCAGCUGUGGUAUUUUGACUUUUGUUCUGCCUGUCACUGAUGCUUCUUUCAGGUUUCCACAGCAAAACCUCCCCUGUUGGAAUCCAUGUCUAAGGGUGUGGGUGUAGAUUUUGUUUUGUCCUGGACGGUGGCCUUACCACAAGGCUGGAGCCCUAAGUUUGAGCCUAGAGAGGUGGGUUCAAUCCUUACCUCCUUGGUGGAGUCUGGGGGAGUCUCUAUCUUGGGUGGGUGAUUCCUUGGGGAAAGGUGGUCAGAUUGGCCCCAGGUAUAUGAGCUUUUAGAGUGCCAUGGGGCAAAGCCCUGGCUCUUUGCUGAAGGCAACAUUUCCAGCCUUUUAAAAAAUAAGUCCCUCUGAUUGGCUGUACUGGUUCCCAUGGUGAUCUAGCCUAUGAGGUAGAACAGAAAGGAGAGUGUUGCUAAGGGGCAGUAGCUCAUAAAAAAAGUAGUUCAUGAAAUUGGUUUGGGGUGGAGGCUGCAGAUCUAGUAAAGAUGUGUUCUCUCUGUUCUUAUAGGGUAGACUAUUAGGGUUCUGUGCCUGACAGGGCUAAUGGACAGCCAUCCCUACUUCCUAGGACCAUAUAUUUAGAAUUGUAGAGGCCAUUCCCUUUGUUUUAUAGUUGAGGAAACUGAGGCACUGAGUCAUUAAAGUACUUGGUCAAGGCCUGAUAAAUGCUUAGGGUGGGAUUUGAACUCAAGUCUUCCUGACUCUAAACCUAGCACUCUAUUCACUCUUCUUCCUCAGGAUAUUGGAUCAGCAGGCAAUUUAGCCUGGCAGCCUACUCUUGAACCUUGCGGCUCCAGAGAUUAGUUUCUUUACUCUCCAUGACUGGCUCUGACAACUCAUUCUCCCUCCUCAUCCUGCUCAUCUCAUAUGAAUAAAUUGAGAGAAGUUAUGAAAUGCUUCAUUAAAACCUAGGAAAAUGAUGUCUACAGUAAUGCCCUGAAUGACCUGUUUAGUAACCAUGUUUGUUAGAAAAGAAAAUGAAUAAAUCUGUCAUGACUUGUUCUUGA
Molecule: long non-coding RNA, 2448 nt
Organism: Monodelphis domestica (gray short-tailed opossum)
Lineage: Eukaryota; Metazoa; Chordata; Mammalia; Didelphimorphia; Didelphidae
Source: RefSeq, a predicted model, not a curated record